GGGGUUGUAGCUCAGUGGUAGAGCACUUGCCUAGCACGUGUGAGCAUGUGAGCACUGGGUUCCAUCCUCAGCACCACA
RNAcentral lists this transfer RNA (78 nucleotides) under Marmota monax (woodchuck). RNAcentral's name for it is "tRNA.Ala". Lineage: Eukaryota; Metazoa; Chordata; Mammalia; Rodentia; Sciuridae. The record is from RNAcentral.